RNAcentral lists this ribosomal RNA (464 nucleotides) under Vreelandella stevensii. Its description in RNAcentral is "partial 16S ribosomal RNA". It matches the Rfam family "Bacterial small subunit ribosomal RNA", at positions 339 to 795 of the family's 1533-position model. The record is from RNAcentral. Lineage: Bacteria; Pseudomonadati; Pseudomonadota; Gammaproteobacteria; Oceanospirillales; Halomonadaceae.
CUACGGGAGGCAGCAGUGGGGAAUAUUGGACAAUGGGCGAAAGCCUGAUCCAGCCAUGCCGCGUGUGUGAAGAAGGCCUUCGGGUUGUAAAGCACUUUCAGUGGGGAAGAAAGCCUUGGGGCUAAUACCCUCGAGGAAGGACAUCACCCACAGAAGAAGCACCGGCUAACUCCGUGCCAGCAGCCGCGGUAAUACGGAGGGUGCGAGCGUUAAUCGGAAUUACUGGGCGUAAAGCGCGCGUAGGCGGUCUGAUAAGCCGGUUGUGAAAGCCCCGGGCUCAACCUGGGAACGGCAUCCGGAACUGUCAGGCUAGAGUGCAGGAGAGGAAGGUAGAAUUCCCGGUGUAGCGGUGAAAUGCGUAGAGAUCGGGAGGAAUACCAGUGGCGAAGGCGGCCUUCUGGACUGACACUGACGCUGAGGUGCGAAAGCGUGGGUAGCAAACAGGAUUAGAUACCCUUGUAGUC